UGAUAUGGAUAUGCCCAAGGUUCCCCGUACCGGUCCCGAACCCCGUACCGGUGCCGCACUAGUAUAGGCGUACCGAGUGUCGGUAUGGUACGGUACGCUCGGUACCGACCGUACCGAUAUUGGUAUACCGAUACCGGUAUCCAUCGGUACGGGUACGGUACGCUCGGUACUGACCGGUACAGCGAACUCAUAUGCCUGUAGGUGUUUAACAAAUGAAUGCAAUAUAUUUUGUUUAAUAUAUUUAUUGGUUGUAAAAAUUCUGAAUAAUUUUCGGNNNNNNNNNNNNNNNNNAGAAAUGAAAGCAUAUAAAUCUAGAAUUAAUCAUGUAUGUGAGAAGUCAAUUUCAAUAAGUCUUGAAGUCAUCCAAUGAGAGCAGCUCUGUGAAGCUCUGCAAAAUGGACUCCAGCAAUGCAUCCAGCCAACUUCUCGUCUAGAUCAUUGGAUUCUUCGAUAGCAAUCAAACCAGCAACCUUGCUGUCAGAAAUUGUAAUUGGCUAGGAACCUCAAUGGCAAUACCACCCAGUAACACUGUCAAUACUGCAAUUCACCUGAAGUAAAAGCGUCUAGGGAAAUCAACAUGGCCAACCUUCACUCACGGUGUCUGUUCAAACAGAUAAGAUACAUUAGAAAGACAAACUAGAAAGGUAGUACAAGAAAUAAUCAUGAAUUUAUAUAAUUAAAUAGUUAACACCACCAUGAUUAUUUACAUGGAAUCAGAAAGAACCAAAUAUGCUUCUUAAAUAGCAAAGAUGGCCUGCAUGAGCUUCCAACUUCCUUAGAUGAAGUGCAUAGAAAACAAACUAGUCCUGCAAACCAGGGAUUACAAUCCUCAGGUAUAGACUUCAACAAUUAAAACUCUCUCUCUCUCUCNNNNNNNNNNNNNNNNNNNNUAGUAGUAGUACUACAACUAAACUAACUACUCUCUCUCUCUCUCUCUCUCUCUCUCUCUCUCUCUCUCUUACAUUUCAUAUGUUUAAUUUAUUUCCCGUGAAACCUAGAUUUCCAAAAGGUAUUUCUACAUAUUGCUGGAAAUUUGGAACGAAUAAAGCUAUAUGACAUAACAGUAACAAAUUCCCUCAUAAGUAACGAACCAGAUAGGUUCAAACAUUGUCCAGUUAAUACCAUUUCUAAUGGUCAAAUUAGCUUUCAACCUAACUGAAACAACUGAUAUCAUUUAAAUUCAAAAAAAUGAAAUGAAUGGACUCCUGAGUUUCAUGCAAUUUGCAAUGUAAAUUGUCAGUUCAUAUAUAGAAAGUGCAUCAAACCCUUACAAAAAAAAGAAAAAAGAAUAAUAUCCAUGCACCCACUCCUAAAAUUUUCUACUAAAAAUACAGAGAAGCUAAUAUGCGCCAAUCAUUGUGAACCAUUAAUACUAUGCAAACCCCUAAAAAUCAUAUUUCAAAUUGUACUUCCAAACUGCAAAAUGGUAACUAAUUUUUCAGCAAACAGUUUGGUUUGAGAUUAAUUUGUAAUUUUAAGCACCCUACUUAUCCUUGCCAUCCCGCUAUUAAUUUUUGUGCAGACAAUUCCACUUCUUCCUCUUACCACUUCUUCUUUUCAAUUCUCACAAGACAGUGAAAUGUUAAGUCUACCCAAACUAUGAAGUAACAUUUAGCCCAAGGCAGAUGACACAACCAGCCACUCGCACAUUUCAUCUACCAAACAUUUUAUCUUAUAUCCCCAUCUUUCUUUUUUCUGCAACUAAAAUAAUCAAGCCCAGCUCUAGUUUCAAGCCCGUGUCCUUGGAAAAGUUCAAUAUGAAAUUAUCAAUAAGGCGUGUAAAAAACAACAAUCAAUAAAGAGGAGGAGGAAAAAAAGCACCGCGAUAAAAAGCGUUGAUAAUGUGUAACGCUGGAAUGCCCUCUAAAUUCUUCGAAACAAAAGCAUUUUUGAACCACUUCGAAUCCCCAAAGCAGAAGAAAGAGAUAAUUCUUUAGAGAGAAAAAAGUAAAAAAAGUAAGUUCAGAAGUUUUAAAUUUCAAAACCAUCAACUUUUUUUGACAUUUGAAAGUUAAGAUGUUUUAGUAGGUGUUUGGUUGUUAAAAACGAUCGAGUUCGAAAUUAAAUGAAAGCCCAAGAUAACAAAGGCGAAAAAUCAUGGAACUUGGAAAAUCCUACUCAAACCUUUAACAAAAAAAAAAUAAUCAAAUUCCAUGAUUGAAGGUAUUUUGUUAAGUUUUAUUGCAUUUCAAACGUAUCCAAAAGCAAAAUAACUGCUGGAGAAGGGCAAGAAAACAAAAAACGAGAUUAACUGUAGAAACCCAAUCUAAUCAAAGCGGAAAUCUUGCUACCGUUAUCAAAUCAAAAGCUAAAGCCCCCCAAAAGUAAGCAAAAUCAUCGAUUAAAAGAAAAAUAAAGAAAAAGCACAAAUAGCAUUAAAUGCUUCAAGAAAUUAUCUCCAAAAAACUUUAAUAGACUAAUAGAGAUCUAAAUGCAGCAAACCCCCUCAUCUAACCUUCCCCAAGAGACAAAUCUACACAGAGGGAGAGAGCGAGAGAGAGGAAGAGAGAGUUCUACUACGCAACAGCUUAGCAUCGACCAUAUCUCAAAAAGGAAUCCAACUACAAACAACCCCAUUAGAGAUCCAAAUCCACCGAUCUAACUAACUUACCUGCAGACCAACAGAGAGAGAGAGCCGUACCUCGGCAUUUCCCCGAAACAGAGCGCCAGAGAUAGAGAGAAAUCCCCGAUCCGUUCUUCGAUUCGGCUCGGCAAAUAGCACGGAGAAAGCGAAGGAGAGGGAGAGAAGGAGAGCUUGGACUCUACGCCAAAGACCCGACCGCCUCUCAAUUCUAGUCCGGAGAAAAAAAGAGUUCGAGACUCCCAACGACAAACCAAACGGUUGCUUGCCCUGCUAAUUAUUUUAUCUACCAUCUCUUCUUUUGAAUUAACCAUCUUAAUAAUAAUAAUAAUAAUAAUUUAACCUCGUUUAAACCAAACCAAACGAUGACUAACGAUAGGAACAAAAGCUAAAGGCCAUCAUAACUUUGGUCUGGUCCUCCUUGAAGCUUUUGUGGUGAUGGUGUUUGCUACAGAGACCAGAAAGAAAGAAAGGAGGUAAAAAUUAUGGGGAGCGAUGGUAUCUUUUUCCACCUCCCUCUCUCGACCGGCAGCCAUUAAAAUUUCGGAGCAAGUAAAUAAUAUAAUUAAAAUAAGAGAGAAGAAGAGUCAGGAGCGCGAGAAAGGGAGCAGAAAAAUAAGAACAAGUCGAGAAAG
Molecule: long non-coding RNA, 3216 nt
Filed under: Phoenix dactylifera (date palm)
Lineage: Eukaryota; Viridiplantae; Streptophyta; Magnoliopsida; Arecales; Arecaceae
Description: long non-coding RNA (PDAC_LNC000094)
Source: RNAcentral